GGAGACGUGGCCGAGUGGUCGAAGGCGCACGCCUGGAAAGUGUGUAGGGGGGAAACCGUCUCGUGGGUUCAAUCCCACCGUCUCCGCCA
RNAcentral lists this transfer RNA (89 nucleotides) under Paracoccaceae bacterium. Its description in RNAcentral is "tRNA-Ser". It matches the Rfam family "tRNA". Rfam says of the family: Transfer RNA (tRNA) molecules are approximately 80 nucleotides in length. Their secondary structure includes four short double-helical elements and three loops (D, anti-codon, and T loops). Further hydrogen bonds mediate the characteristic L-shaped molecular structure. tRNAs have two regions of fundamental functional importance: the anti-codon, which is responsible for specific mRNA codon recognition, and the 3' end, to which the tRNAs corresponding amino acid is attached (by aminoacyl-tRNA synthetases). tRNAs cope with the degeneracy of the genetic code in two manners: having more than one tRNA (with a specific anti-codon) for a particular amino acid; and 'wobble' base-pairing, i.e. permitting non-standard base-pairing at the 3rd anti-codon position. Lineage: Bacteria; Pseudomonadati; Pseudomonadota; Alphaproteobacteria; Rhodobacterales; Paracoccaceae. The record is from RNAcentral.